GACAGGCUUAGCUAUGACUAAAAGUGUUGCUGGGUGUAAGACUAUGGAGGAUACAUCUGUAUUCAACUUAGGGCAAGAGAGCAUCAAGCUUCAGGAAGGAGAGAUUAUGAUUGUUUUACUUGCUUUCAGAUAAUGGAUUCUCUCACUUCUUUUCUUUUCUUUUCUUUUCCUUUUCUUUCUCUCUCUCUCUCUCUCUCUCUCUCUCUCUCUCUCUCUCUGUCACAUCUAUAUAGAUAUCCAUUCAUAUAUCCAUACAGGAAAGAAGGAAGGAAGGAAGGAAGGAAGGAAGGAAGGAAGGAAGGAAGGAAGGAAGGAAAGAAGGAAGGAAGGAAGGAAGGAAGAUACCCCAAGUAUAAAUGGAUUCAAGCUACUUGGAAUUUGGUCUACGGAGAUUAACAGCUUGCACAUUAAUUCAAAGCACCAACAGCCCACCUAACCUAAUGCCGUUUUAAAUGAAUUAAAAGCCCUGUUUAGGAAACUUUAAUACUUUAAUAUACUUUAAAUGAAGGAAAUGUGCAUCUAUAUUUUUAUUCAGUUUAUAAAAACCAAAUUCAGUUUGCUUAUUUUGCUUGUUCAAACAUACUCCAGGGAGGAACUUUCUUUAUCUUCAGGCAUUACUUCUCUUGAAAAUGAAAUAUCUUCUAAGCUUGAAAGCACAGUCUGAGUGGAACUAAUUGUAAAGUGGGGGUGGUAGUGGGGAGAGAGAGGCAGCGUGAGUAGAAAGACCAUGUUCAGGUAGAGGGAAAAAAUUCAAUUUCAAUGUAUUGUCCCUUUUUAUAUCUUUGACAUUAAAUGAAUGCCUUUAAACACACUGACAUUUUGUAAUAUUACAAAAUGAACGUGCAGAAUUGAGCAAUCAAUACAAACAGAUCAUCUAUAAAAAAGGCAAGGAAGCAUAUCACCAAACCUACAAGAAGGACUCACAGUUUGGGGGACCAGAAAAUGCUAGACCAUUGCAAUAACUUCCCUCCUGGUCUCCCCAUUUUCAGGUCUUUUAGCUCUAUCUUCUUAAAGCAGGGUUCAGCCCACAUAAAUCGCUUCCUUACAAACCUUCCAGCACUUUCUGUUAACUGCCUACUGAAAUGAAAACCUCUCAGGCUGGGACUCAGUGAAGUUCCUCUGCAAUACAUCCCCAAUUCUCAUUUCCAUCCUUAUUUCCCAUUCUGUGCCUGUGGAAAGCAAAGGGUCAACCAAACUAGAUUAUAUGCUAUUUUGGGCAAAUACUUCUACAGUUUCCUUUCAAUUUGUCUUUGCUCAUAUCUAUUUCCUCUACUUGUCAACUCAUUAAUUUCCCCAGUAAGCAUGUAUGUUGAAUUAUCCCAAUUAAUUUAGGCAUGGAGGAAAAACAAAGAUGGAAGUUAAUUGCCUGCCCUCAAGAAGCUCAAAAUCUAAUGCAGGAGUGAAAGACAUGAACACCUUUAAAAUGAUGUGAGGGUACAAAGAGAGAAAGAGAAAUAGAGUCCAAACAGG
This 1470-nucleotide long non-coding RNA is filed under the name Pan troglodytes (chimpanzee). RNAcentral describes it as "lncRNA (ENSPTRG00000054354.1)". The record is from RNAcentral. Lineage: Eukaryota; Metazoa; Chordata; Mammalia; Primates; Hominidae.